CAGCUCAGUCUUUUCUUUGGUACCAUGGCGAGCGCACAGGACUCUCAAAAUUUUUGGAGGGAGUUUAUUCAUCUCUAUAGAGAUUUUCCUGCUUUGUGGAAAACUAAAAGCGAUGAUUAUAAGAACAGAGUUUUGAAAAGUGAAUGUUAUGUCAAAUUAAUAGAAAAAAAUGCGAGAAAUAGACCCUAGUGCCACACGAUCCACAGUGACCAAGAAAUUAAAUUCUUUACGUUCGAACUAUCGAAUGGAACUGAAAAAGAUACUCAACAGUAUGAAGUCAGGUGCUGGUGUAGAUGGUAUAUACACGCCUUCAUUGUGGUAUUUCGACGACCUUUCAUUCCUUCGUGACCAGGAGGUCCAGCAACCUGGAGUGUCAAGUAUGGAUGAUGGGGAUGAUGACAAUGUGGAAUCCAUAGAUAACAUUGACCCCUCCACAUUAGGCAGUGAGUCACAGCAGGUAGAUUCACACGUCCCAAAGAAAUGACAGAAAUUGGAUAUGCAGAGUAAACGUUAUGAAGCUCUCUCACUUGCAUGCUCAUAUCUCAAGCAAAGUAACGACCCCAUUGAUAUUUUGGCCAAGAGCUGGGCUCAAGAAUUUAGGGAAAUAAGUGCAGAACAGCAAAUAUAUGCCAGGAAGGCUAUUAAUGAUAUUCAUUUUGACGCAAAAUUAGGUACAUUGCAUAGACACAGCGUUAAGAUUAAUGAAAAUAAUAUUCAAAGUAGGUCUUCCACGCCCAUCUCAGUACUGUCCUCUGACAGCGGAGCAUCCACAAGUCGAGGUAAUAUAAUAAUCGGAAAUAUCACAGAUACGACUGGAGUCCGUGUUUACACAACAAUGUCAGACCUUUUGAACGAUCCCAGUACAGCUUGGAAAACUAAAUACGUUAUGGCAUAUUGGCAUUAGGAUCCGCCGCCCCACUUUUUUUUUUUGGUUUUGUUCCCAAGGGAAAAUAUAUUUUCAUAUGUAUUUGGUGAUAGUGUUAAAGAAUUUGUCAUUUAGUAGUCUAACUAUUAUUAAUAAAUACUUUUGUUA
This is a long non-coding RNA of Macrobrachium nipponense, 1033 nucleotides long. RefSeq lists it as uncharacterized. Lineage: Eukaryota; Metazoa; Arthropoda; Malacostraca; Decapoda; Palaemonidae. The transcript is spliced from 2 exons. The record is from RefSeq and is a predicted model, not a curated record.